Non-coding RNA from Paramuricea clavata, 252 nucleotides. The record is from the annotation of a GenBank genome assembly. NCBI's taxonomy places the organism in Eukaryota, Metazoa, Cnidaria, Anthozoa, Malacalcyonacea, Plexauridae.
GUGGUCACAAAAGGCAAGCGGGAAGUAGCCGAAACAGUAUAGAACACAUCUGCAUUGACCUUUUGAAUUCAAUCAAAGCAUAUUAUUGAUUUAAUAUAUUUGGGCAUUCAUUUCGAAAAAUGCAUAAAUAUUGCAAUAUGUGGUUAAUUUCGAAUUAGGCCUAAGUUUGCUUCGGCUCAAAAAAGUAUGAAACUCGAUGAAUCCAGUAUUAAAAACUCAUGGGAAAAAUGUUGAUAUUUUCCUAAAUUUUUC